UCUCAUGGUGCCGGGUGCUUAUACCUAAAGG
Molecule: non-coding RNA, 31 nt
Filed under: Mus musculus (house mouse)
Lineage: Eukaryota; Metazoa; Chordata; Mammalia; Rodentia; Muridae
Source: RNAcentral